RNAcentral lists this ribosomal RNA (440 nucleotides) under uncultured bacterium. RNAcentral's name for it is "partial 16S ribosomal RNA". It matches the Rfam family "Bacterial small subunit ribosomal RNA", at positions 338 to 795 of the family's 1533-position model. The record is from RNAcentral.
CCUACGGGCGGCAGCAGUGGGGGAUAUUGCACAAUGGGGGAAACCCUGAUGCAGCGACGCCGCGUGUGGGAAGACGGUCCUCUGGAUUGUAAACCACUGUCCCCAGGGACGAAGAUGAGGGUACCUGGGGAGGAAGCUCCGGCUAACUACGUGCCAGCAGCCGCGGUACUACGUAGGGAGCGAGCGUUGUCCGGAAUUACUGGGUGUAAAGGGAGCGUAGGCGGGACUGCAAGUUGGGUGUCAAAUCUACCGGCUCAACCGGUAGCCGCACUCAAAACUGCAGUUCUUGAGUGAAGUAGAGGCAGGCGGAAUUCCUAGUGUAGCGGUGAAAUGCGUAGAUAUUAGGAGGAACACUAGUGGCGAAGGCGGCCUGCUGGGCUUUUACUGACGCUGAGGCUCGAAAGUGUGGGGAGCAAACAGGAUUAGAUACCCCAGUAGUC